Molecule: ribosomal RNA, 473 nt
Filed under: uncultured bacterium
Lineage: Bacteria
Description: bacterial SSU rRNA
Rfam family: Bacterial small subunit ribosomal RNA
Source: RNAcentral
GGGCUCACACAAGCGGUGGAGCAUGUUGCUUAAUUCGAAGCAACGCGAAGAACCUUACCUGGGUUUGACAUGCUUGGAUUAACUCCUGGAAACAGGAGCCACGCUCGCAAGAGUGGAACAAGCACAGGUGCUGCAUGGCUGUCGUCAGCUCGUGCUGUGAAGUGUCGGGUUAAGUCCCUUAACGAGCGCAACCCUUGUCGUUAGUUGCUAACAGGUAAUGCUGAGGACUCUAACGAGACUGCCGGUGUCAAACCGGAGGAAGGCGGGGAUGACGUCAAGUCCUCAUGGCCCUUACAUCCAGGGUUGCAAACGUGCUACAAUGGUGCGUACAGAGCGACGCAAGGCCGCAAGGCGGAGCAAAUCGCAAAAAACGCACCCCAGUUCGGAUUGCAGGCUGCAACUCGCCUGCAUGAAGCCGGAAUCGCUAGUAAUCGAGGAUCAGCUACGCCUCGGUGAAUAAGUUCCUGAGCCUU